RNAcentral lists this long non-coding RNA (3343 nucleotides) under Xyrichtys novacula (pearly razorfish). The record is from RNAcentral. Lineage: Eukaryota; Metazoa; Chordata; Actinopteri; Labriformes; Labridae.
UUGCUCUUCCAGUUAGCCUCCUCUGACUGAAGUCCAAGGUGAAAUUGAAUGAACAUGACUUGCAUAUCCUGUAAAUAACAAUAACACAUCUGAGCAGAUUUUGGCUCUUUUUCCUGGCACUAAAUUUAAGCAGUAAUGUUCCUGACCUGUCCCUAGUGCGGCUCGUGCCAGAGCUCGCUGCCUCUACUGUGUUAUUUCCUCCUUUCCUGGCUGGCAGACAGGGCCUUGCUGGUUUUGGCGGCUCGUCACUCAAUCCAGUUGGCAGUGUCUAGAAAAGUUCAGGACACACCAACUCAUGUCGAGUCUCACCCUCCCACAAACCCUCCCCUUGCUCAGCCUAUCCAUGACCAUCCUGGGGUUGAUGAAUUGUUGCACAGUUUCGCUGGCAGAAUGAUCGUCACUUCCUUUGCAUGUAAGUGAAGAAAACAAAGACUUUUCCUGGCAGUGUUUGGAGAAACGCAGCACAGAACUCUCAGCAUAAAUCUCAACUAUGACAUGGGAAAGAAACAACAUGGAAAAACUAUUUCAAAGUCAGUCUUGGCUCCAUUUUUGUCAAAUGUGCUGCUGUUGUAACUUCAUUUUAAACCUAUGUUUUGAUAUCAUAUUUCUCUUACAACUUUCGGUGUUUCAUUUUCACUUACAUUACUACAAUCUCACUUUUCACUCUAUGAAAACUGCCCUCUCUCUUGUAAACAUACCUCAAUUGUUGUGUUAAUGUCAUUGACUGUAGUUUUAAAAGCACAGGGCUGAUUUCACGAGAUUAAACAAGGUUAUGCGCCUUGCUCUUACGUUACUCCCACCUGAAUUAAACAGUCUCAGGUAAAAGCAUCUGGGAACACAUUAUCAAAAUGUCAUGAACUGUUCUUUCAUUUCCCCUGUUAUCAUCAGGUGUACGAAUCUGAACUAAUUUUUUCUCUCCUUCAGAGCAGAUUGAAGACCCUCUCCGCUUUUGGCCAUUGGCUCUAGUGUCAUAAACCCAAUCUUUAUUUCCUCUGUUAUCAUAACAUGCAAUUUGUCGCUGUAAUGAGAGAUCAGAGGCUUUAAUGUGCUGAUUAUGAACCACUUAGCGCAGCUCUGCAGCCAAGCUUGGUUUGGCACCCUGAGGUUUUUUUUUAAUUGCAGAUUGACUCAAACAAUAGUUAUCAGUUGCAGUGUUAUGCCUGACCUUAAUCUUCACUUCUCUCUUUCCCACAUUAGUCUGAAAAUGUCAGCGUUUAGUGCUCACUUUUCAGGGAAAAGGUCAUUGUCUGGAGUAGAUCAUCUCUCUAUUUCAGCUUUGUUUCUGUGUUCAUCAACUGUCCCAAUGCUGAUUUGGAUAAAUGUUGUUUUAGUGCAUCCCUGACCACCUCUUUGACAGAAUGGCUUGAAAAGCCUAAGGUGUAAUUGGGUUUUAAAAGUAGAACCCAGGCCCAUUAAAUUAUGUGCUGCAUGCAGGGGAGCUAAUUGAGUUGAAGCCCUGCUGGCACACUGCAUGUGCACUGGAAACAUUUACCCAACAUUAAGCCCCAAUUAGGCUUUAAGGAUGGGAGAUUUGUUGUUGGAUGAUGGGAAGAGAAGAUACUGAUGCCUGUCAGACUCACAGCAGAGUCUCUCUGGUGAGUAAAAUCUGAGCACUGUUGUACCUCCGUGUUUUGGCAAAUAAAAACUGUAAAGAUUUCUAGAUUUUCUCAUUUGGUUUAACUGCUUUUGUUCUCUCGCUCUGGCUACAGUGCAUUGCGGUCAAACUCAGUCAAAAAGUUUAAAAGUAUGGUUGUGUUUAUGAGUGUGUAUGUGUGUGUGUAGUGCUAUCCACUGCGCAUGCUCCCUCUCAGCUCAGAGGAGCGGCUAAUGCAGUUAUAUAACAGUGAGUGCAGCCGGCGUCUGCUGUGAGCCAAAUGCCAGGACAGUCUGGUUACAUAAGCCUGUCAGAGUCAUAUUGUAGCAGCACGGAGCGCUCGCACCACGGCGUGUCCCUGCACUCCAUCCACCGUUUCCUGCUCUGUCUUUCACCUCCUCCCACUUAGCUGUCUUUCUUUGCUUUUCUCAAAUCUUUGCACCCCCCCCCCCCCUCCCCACCCCGCGCGCGCCUCCUCCUCCUCCUUCUCUCACACUUUCUUUUCCUUCUCUCUUCCUCCCUUCUUCGCUUCUUUGUGGAGCUGUUGUCAACACCAGAAACAAAGCGAUAACGUGCUGGAUGAAGAUGCAUUGGUAGUUCUCAUGGAAAAAAGUACUAAAUGCUGAGGGAGUUAAGUGUAUUCUUCUUCUAUUGUCCUCUCCAUAAUUUCUAAGCAACUUUCCUUCUCCAGGUGACAACAUGAGUGUGGCAGACCACCCCCCAACCUGUGAGCUCUGCUGCACGAGGGCCUUUAGAGCACCUUUACUGUAUCACUCCCACCACCACCACUACCCCCCAGAUCUGAGGAGGUCACCACAUCAGCAGGAAAUCCACUCAUAGCUUUGAGAGUAGUGGUGGGCAUGGCUGUUCUUUUAGAUGUACUGAAUCACUAGAAUCAGUUGACUAAAAAGAUUUGUUCAAAAGAUUCGUUCACCAAAUCACUUAACACUUGGCGGGAGAGGCCUGCGAUCCCGACCUCCUGAACUGAUACACAGCUGAACAAUUCAGGAUUCAGUUCAAUUCAUAGUUUCUGGGACUGGGAGAGUGUUUGGCUGUGUUGCUUUGGCAAAGGUCAUGAUGCUUCAAGUGUACUGUCCUAUGGUAUGCUAUUUAUCAGGUCUGCUCGGCAAAUUGGGCUCAGUGAGUGAUUCGUUCACUGAAUGUUUAGAAGAAUUCAAACUGAACAUGCACCAUUCCCUCGCAAACCGCUGCAAUGAUAGGAUGCUGCAGGUUAAAUGCACUAUUUAUUACAUGCUGUGUCCUAUUGUAUGCAAGUUAUUGUGAUGGUAAUUUAGCAGUAAAAACAAAAAAGAGGAAGUUUUAUCUGACAAAAAUUAUUCCCGAUAGUGUAGCUCUAUGCGUGAUUCGUUCACCAAGUGAUUCAGGCGUCGGUGCAUAUGAUUCCUCGUUCACCGGCUGCUGGCCUGGCAAUGCUGUUUCUCACUUCAGUUGAGCUGAAGUGAGAAACGAAAGAAUCACUUGAGGAAGUGAUUUGGUUCAGUACAUUCACUUAAAAGAUUCGGUUCUUCUUAACGAAUCGUUCGCGAACGGCACAACACUAUUUGAGAGAUGUGUGCAAAGGACUGCAAACACUGCGUCUGUGACCCCUCAGUAGUUCACACAGUCACCAAGGAGAGGUUAAUUGAUUUGCCUCAGAUCCUGACCUCCAUUACAUCUCCCCAGGGUGAGAUGCAGUGUCAGCAUCACUUUAGAUGGGGUUAUUUGCUCUUGCGGUGAAGAAACAAAGAC